GAUGAACGCUGGCGGCGUGCCUAAUACAUGCAAGUCGAGCGAACAGACGAGGAGCUUGCUCCUCUGACGUUAGCGGCGGACGGGUGAGUAACACGUGGAUAACCUACCUAUAAGACUGGGAUAACUUCGGGAAACCGGAGCUAAUACCGGAUAAUAUAUUGAACCGCAUGGUUCAAUAGUGAAAGACGGUUUUGCUGUCACUUAUAGAUGGAUCCGCGCCGCAUUAGCUAGUUGGUAAGGUAACGGCUUACCAAGGCAACGAUGCGUAGCCGACCUGAGAGGGUGGUAGGCGACAGCGGAAUUGAGAAAUGGUCAAGACUGGGAAGGGGGGACGCAGUACGGAAGCUUGCGAAAUGUGAGCAUGUUGGACGGGUAAACGCAGCGUGAGGGAUGAAGGUCUUCGUAUAUUAAAAGUGUGUGAUUAGGGAAGAACAAAUGUGUAAGUAACUAUGAAAGUCUUGACGGGACCGAGUGAGAAAGCAACGGAGAACUACGUG
This 497-nucleotide ribosomal RNA is filed under the name uncultured bacterium. RNAcentral describes it as "partial 16S ribosomal RNA". It matches the Rfam family "Bacterial small subunit ribosomal RNA", at positions 28 to 507 of the family's 1533-position model. The record is from RNAcentral.